UGGUGGAUAACUGUGCCUUCCAUAAC
RNAcentral lists this non-coding RNA (26 nucleotides) under Rattus norvegicus (Norway rat). Lineage: Eukaryota; Metazoa; Chordata; Mammalia; Rodentia; Muridae. The record is from RNAcentral.